GCUGCGGCAGGGCCGGGCCGGCCGCUCCCUCCGCCGCGGGGCUGCUGCGGCCCUAAGGACACGAAUGGUGCUCGGAGAGGUCAAGUCCUACCGAAAGAAAAAGGCUGCCACCUGAAACAGUAGCACUCUCUCUGUGCUGCUACUGCUGAUGGAGAAGUUAUGUGGCAAUAUCCGUAUGACAUGACAGAGAACCCUCCAAACAAGCCUGUUGUGAUGCAACACUAAUUCAGUAACAUCAAGUUUCUAAUUUGCCACUUUUCCAGACAUGAUGUUUUAUUUCAAGUAGUAAACUGCUGCAUUGGAAAAGAUCUCACAGACUCUCCCUGAGGAUGCAUUUGCACUGGUUUGACAGAUAUUUUGGACUUACAUAAACAAAAGAGAGAAAUUUGACAGCUAUAUUAAAUGCAGUCAUGACAACAAGACAUUGCAAAGACAGCAAGAUUCUACAUUCUGCUUUCAGAGCCAUCUCACUGGUUCAGAAGAAGGUAAGAGAUAUAACUUCUAUAGCUGUACAAUAUGGAUACAGUCAACGAUAAAAACUAUUGCUUGAAAUAGGAAGAUAGCUCCAACCCCCCUCCCAAAAAAAACCCCAAACCCAAACCCAAACAAGCCCACUAGCCAAUAAUUCAAUUUGGUAAUCUGUAUUCUAGAUUAAAAACAUUGCUACUUCUGCCAGGGAUCCCCCCCUUACCUCCGGGGUUUUCUUUGCAAGCUACAAACUUAAAAAUAGUCUGGAGCUGCUGUCCAUUUAGUCACAAGCAGAAUAAAACUACUAUAGCAAAAUAGAUAGAAAGCGAGAACUUACUUUGCCCUUCAAAUUUUCGUAUGAUUGUACCCAAAAAUGUAUUUUGUGGUGCCACAUGACCUCUGCGAACAGGCAUGUUUGUACAGGUCUUCGGUUUUCUGUGCACAAUGACUUCUCCAAGGAUCUCCUACACGGCUCCAGCCCAAAGCACCGAGCCAGCUACCCUUUGUGACAAAUCAUCGUCCUCUGGAGCUCGGAAAUCUCUUCCCAUUAGCACCACUUCUAGAGACACGCUUUUCCUAUUGGAGUCAGAUUCAUCCCCCAGUUUCUUUCUUUUUCUUUCUUUCUCUCCUUGCUUUCUUUUCUAUUUUUUUCCCGGAGGAGCUCGGACGCUAUUGUCUGGGGCGGGUAGGGG
Molecule: non-coding RNA, 1160 nt
Organism: Lonchura striata (white-rumped munia)
Lineage: Eukaryota; Metazoa; Chordata; Aves; Passeriformes; Estrildidae
Source: RefSeq, a predicted model, not a curated record